AGGACGAACGCUGGCGGCGUGCUUAACACAUGCAAGUCGAGCGGAAAGGCCCUUCGGGGUACUCGAGCGGCGAACGGGUGAGUAACACGUGAGCAACCUGCCCCUGGCUCUGGGAUAGCUCCGGGAAACCGGGAUUAAUACCGGACAUGACCUCCUCCCGCAUGGGUGGAGGUGGAAAGUUUUUCGGCCAGGGAGGGGCUCGCGGCCUAUCAGCUUGUUGGCAGGGUAAUGGCCUACCAAAGGCGACGACGGGUAG
RNAcentral lists this ribosomal RNA (256 nucleotides) under uncultured bacterium. RNAcentral describes it as "partial small subunit ribosomal RNA". It matches the Rfam family "Bacterial small subunit ribosomal RNA", at positions 26 to 286 of the family's 1533-position model. The record is from RNAcentral.